ACUUAUUACAAAUACAUCAUCAUCAUCAUCGUUUAACGUCCAUUUCUUCCUUGUGGUGGACGGGGUAUGAGCCUCCUCCUCCACUGUCCAUUUCCUCCGUGAUGUUCAGCCUCCUCAUAUCUUCCUCCACCUUGGCCUUCUCUUCUGCCUCAAGGUUCAGUUCAGGAUGUGUUCUUCUCCUCACAAACCACCUUAAUCUGGCCUUACUCCUCCAGGCCACUCCUCCCUACCACUUCUUCAUUUGAGAUUCCAUCCUGCCAUGUGAUUGCCGUCAAGUAUCUCAGCAUUCUCACACCACACUAGUGCCUCCAGCUGUUUCCUGCCAGCCCAGGUCUCUGCCCCGCACACACACACACACACACACACACACACACACACACACACACACACACACACACACACACCUGUGCUGCCAGGCGGGAUAUUCUGGUUCACUAGUAAGCCUGCCAGUUCCCUGCACUCUUCCAAGCACAAGCUGUCCUGCCUCUCACUGCUGCCAGGGAAGGAGCCGAGAUGAGACCAGACUCAGCCCUCCAGUGAGCCCAGGUGACCACCAGGGGGACACCCACGCACCUCAUGGCUUAGGGGAAAAUGCAUGAAGGUGGUGGGUGAGUGAAGCAACGCACCCCCUGUGUAUGCUCAGGUCCCAGGCUACGUCAGGAAGGGAGACAGAGACGAGACCACUGAGCCGAGGGAACCAGUCAGGCCUUCAAGAUGCUGCCUGGAUGCUGGGGGAGAAGAGAUGAGACGAGUCCUGUUGGGGAGAAGAUGGAGGGAGAUUGAUUGAAGGGCAGAGAUGAGAGAGAGAGAUGGAACUAACUCUCUCUCUCUGUAUUUCUAUAAAGAGAAGACUAAUAAAGUUUGGAAAUAUAUA
Molecule: long non-coding RNA, 874 nt
Organism: Eriocheir sinensis (Chinese mitten crab)
Lineage: Eukaryota; Metazoa; Arthropoda; Malacostraca; Decapoda; Varunidae
Exons: 3
Source: RefSeq, a predicted model, not a curated record